RNAcentral lists this long non-coding RNA (489 nucleotides) under Ananas comosus (pineapple). Its description in RNAcentral is "long non-coding RNA (ACOM_LNC001069)". The record is from RNAcentral. Lineage: Eukaryota; Viridiplantae; Streptophyta; Magnoliopsida; Poales; Bromeliaceae.
CAUCCUAAGUGGAUCGGGUUAAAUUAAGAUCCGCCAAUGUGGACACACCACAUGGCUACAAAAAAUUCAAACUUUGAAUUUCCUUUUUAUUAAAUCUCAGAUAUUACAGUUCAUGAAUCUCAUCGCAACCAAUCUCCUCUUCAUGCUCUCUGUUAUCAUUAUCGGUACUUUCGCUACUCUGAUCUGGGUGUUUUCCCCAUGACACGACCACCAUUUGUAAUCUUUUAAUAUCCCAUGCAAAAUAAGAUGCCCAAAUACAACUUCUCGAGUAUGAAAUGUACCGUUAACACAUUUAUAAUAGAGGCACCAAAUUUUAUCUCCUCUCGCCACAUGUGUAAAUGCAAAGGCAAGAAAACUAUUCACUCCUGUUAUUUAUUUCGAGUGUUGUCUAUUAUCAACAUCCAUCCAAGUCUUAUCCAUCUUGAUAUUUAUUUAUCUGCAGUAUAUUGGAUAUUAAAAAUAUAACAAUGUACUAUUUAUAAAAAAAAA